AUACGGAGGAUCCGAGCGUUAUCCGGAUUUAUUGGGCUUAAAGGGAGCGUAGGUGGAUUGUUAAGUCAGUUGUGAAAGUUUGCGGCUCAACCGUAAAAUUGCAGUUGAAACUGGGAGUCUUGAGUACAGUAGAGGUGGGUGGAAUUCGUGGUGUAGCGGUGAAAUGCUUAGAUAUCACGAAGAACUCCGAUUGCGAAGGCAGCUCACUAGACUGUUACUGACACUGAUGCUCGAAAGUGUGGGUAUCAAACAGGAUUAGAUACCCUGGUAGUCCACACAGUAAACGAUGAAUACUCGCUGUUUGCGAUAUACAGUAAGCGGCCAAGCGAAAGCAUUAAGUAUUCCACCUGGGGAGUACGCCGGCAACGGUGAAACUCAAAUGAAUUGACGGGG
Molecule: ribosomal RNA, 393 nt
Filed under: uncultured bacterium
Lineage: Bacteria
Description: partial 16S ribosomal RNA
Rfam family: Bacterial small subunit ribosomal RNA
Source: RNAcentral